GAGCGAAGCGUAUUAGCGGAAGUUUUCGGAUGGAAGCGGAUAUGACUUAGCGGCGGACGGGUGAGUAACGCGUGGAUAACCUGCCUCAUACAGGGGGAUAACAGUUAGAAAUGACUGCUAAUACCGCAUAAGCGCACAGGACCGCAUGGUCCGGUGUGAAAAACUCCGGUGGUAUGGGAUGGAUCCGCGUCUGAUUAGCUGGUUGGUGAGGUAACGGCCCACCAAGGCGACGAUCAGUAGCCGACCUGAGAGGGUGGCCGGCCACAUUGGGACUGAGACACGGCCCAAACUCCUACGGGAGGCAGCAGUGGGGAAUAUUGCACAAUGGGGGAAACCCUGAUGCAGCAACGCCGCGUGAGUGAAGAAGUAUUUCGGUAUGUAAAGCUCUAUCAGCAGGGAAGAAGAAAGACGGUACCUGACUAAGAAGCCCCGGCUAACUACGUGCCAGCAGCCGCGGUAAUACGUAGGGGGCAAGCGUUAUCCGGAUUUACUGGGUGUAAAGGGAGCGUAGACGGCUGUGCAAGUCUGAAGUGAAAGCCCGUGGCUCAACCGCGGAACUGCUUUGGAAACUGUAUGGCUUGAGUACUGGAGAGGCAGGCGGAAUUCCUAGUGUAGCGGUGAAAUGCGUAGAUAUUAGGAGGAACACCAGUGGCGAAGGCGGCCUGCUGGACAGAAACUGACGUUGAGGCUCGAAAGCGUGGGGAGCUUAAAGGGUUANAUACCCUGGUGGUCCACGCGGUAAACGAUGAUUGCUAGGGUUUGGGGAGCAAAGUUCUUCGGUGCCGUCGCAAACGCAGUAAGCAUUCCACCUUGGGAGUACGUUCGCAAGAAUGAAACUCAAAGGAAUUGACGGGGACCCGCACAAGCGGUGGAGCAUGUGGUUUAAUUCGAAGCAACGCGAAGAACCUUACCAAGUCUUGACAUCCUCCUGAAUGAUGGGUAAAGCCGUCAGGCCUUCGGGACAGGAGAGACAGGUGGUGCAUGGUUGUCGUCAGCUCGUGUCGUGAGAUGUUGGGUUAAGUCCCGCAACGAGCGCAACCCUUAUCCUCAGUAGCCAGCGGCCAGGCCGGGCACUCUGUGGAGACUGCCAGGGAGAACCUGGAGGAAGGUGGGGAUGACGUCAAAUCAUCAUGCCCCUUAUGAUUUGGACUACACACGUGCUACAAUGGCGUAAACAAAGGGAAGCGAAGUGGCGACACGGAGCGAACCCCAAAAAUAACGUCUCAGUUCGGAUUGUAGUCUGCAACUCGACUACAUGAAGCUGGAAUCGCUAGUAA
This 1277-nucleotide ribosomal RNA is filed under the name uncultured bacterium. RNAcentral describes it as "bacterial SSU rRNA". It matches the Rfam family "Bacterial small subunit ribosomal RNA", at positions 59 to 1341 of the family's 1533-position model. The record is from RNAcentral.